Molecule: long non-coding RNA, 5139 nt
Organism: Zeugodacus cucurbitae (melon fly)
Lineage: Eukaryota; Metazoa; Arthropoda; Insecta; Diptera; Tephritidae
Exons: 2
Source: RefSeq, a predicted model, not a curated record
GAUUCUAACGAAGAUGUUUACUCAUUAAAAAGUGCUAAGUAAAUCAGCCCUCAAAACGAUUCAAAGAUUACAACUGAAUAAAAAAAAAAACAAAAACAAAAAGAAUAAAAAAAUAAAAAUAAUGAUUAGGCGCGGUUUUUCCACUUUUCGAGUCAUACAAUAUGCUUUUUUUAAGAAAGAGCCCCUCCAUCACAGAGUUAUUUCUUCUGUGAACCAUGAAGUGCUUUUGCCGCACUUUCAAUCCACUUCUCAUUAAUUUCAAACAUAUCUCAUUAAUAUUUUAAUAUUUAACGAAUAUAUAGAACAAGUCCGAAUGUUUUCGCAAACAUUAUCUACCAUCACACUCAACUCAAUACGGUGAACCGAUUAGUGAAAAAAAUGUGUGUGAUAAGACAUUGUUGAUGGACAGACAAGGCGAAAUUUGAGACUACAAACAGCUUCGAGCUCAAAUCGCGUCGCCGAGCCUUCGUGGUUAUUUAUUUCAUUCAUUAAUACAUAAAUAUACAAAUAUUUCGGAUUUUGACAUUUGCGUGUGUAUGUCUAAUAAAGUUAUAGUUCAUCGUAUAUUAUAUUUAUGUUGUUGUUUUGUAUGAAUAUUGCUCAAAAUUAUUAUAAAAAGUAAUUUGGAAAACGCGUAAUUCAUGACUUGGUAAAUUGUGUAGACAUUUAGGAAUCGGCACAGCACAUUCGCGUAUUAAGAAUAUAUAUACAUAUAUUAAUUUCAAGUGUUAGGGUGAUCCUCUGAAAAUUUCAGAACCUUCAUAAUACAUAUUUCCAAAAAUAAAUGCAACUUUUAGUCAAAAGAGUAUGUUGGUUUACAAGUAUCCAUCCAGAUCCAUAGUUGGGGUAAGAAAUUAUAAUUUUCGUCGAAUUUUUAAUAAAACUCUUUUAAGGCAUUUAAACUUGAAUUUGUAAGGUAAAAUAUUUUAUUUGUUUCAUGUAUGUAGGUCAAAUUAGGUGUCGUUUUGUAAAAAUACUCCACAGAAAUUCAUCGUAGAAUUAUAUAUUGGGUUGACAAAUAUUUCCCUUCCGCUUUUUUGUCUUUUGGAUUUUGCGGCUAUGUAUAAACCGCUACAGAGCUCGUAUCUGGCAAUACUACAAAUCUUUGCAAGGUCUUGACAUAACCUACAAAACGACGUUAUGCAUGAUUAGUUUGGAUAUUUCGUACAACAGUUCGUUAUAGGCGUGUAAACAUGGAGUUCACUAACACCGAAAUUCGCGCUAUUUUAAAGUUUUCUUUCGUUAAGGCAAACCCGAACUGCGGAGGAAUGGUUUCGACGAUUCAGAGCGGGUGAAAACGACAUCAUAGAUAAGACAGCCGGCGGAAGACCUGUGACGACAAAUACCGAUCAAAUCAUGAUAAACAUCGAGUUAGACCGGCAUGUGGCAUCUCAUAAUAUCGCCCAGGAGAUGGGAGUUAGUCACCAAACCAUUUUAAACCAUCUGCAGAAGCCUGGAUACACAAAAAGGCUUGAUGUUUGGGUGUCGCAUGAUUUUUUUGUACCAAUUGCAUCAAUAUAGUAACUUUCCAUUUAAAAAUGACUCCGGAAGCAUAUAAAGUGAUAAAAAUGGAUUGACUCAGAAGCGCCACUCCAUAAUCUUAAAAUAAAGUUUCGAAAUUUUUGAAACAGCUGUGUUUGGAACAUAAGAUCACACAUUUCGCAAGCACGUUUCUUUUGUCAGAAAAGUAGAAAUUUGGUUGGUAAAAUUUUUGACUAUUAUUGGCCUACAUAUACCACUCAUUAAGCAUGCUCUUCGAUAAUAUAAAACUAUUUCCGUCGUCGAAUUAUCGACUACCCUAAUAAUAUGCAUAUGUAUCGAAUACUCCACACAUGCUUAAAUAUUCACACUCGUUCGCCUGUACGGGGACGCUCGCUAAUAUGCCAUAGUGGUAAUAGAUUAUUCUGCAGUGAUUACAAAAGCAAUAAAUUACACCUGGGAAAAAUCUCAUGCGUGUUGUUGUGGCUGUAAAACGAAAACAUCUACUCUGCAAUCAUCCCCUUCCACACUCCUCGCAUACAACAGUCGCAUCUACUCGCAUACGGUAGUUAAGCAAGCAGCUCAACUUGUCACCGACAUUUACUAUUCUGCGGUGGCAAAGGUGUCACACAGGGUGAAAUUGUGUCUAUUAACACGCCCACCAGCGACAAACAGUGCAGAGAAAUGUCACGGGUAAAAUGCACGGUCUACAAAGGGGUUGCAUGUUGACAAUUAAGUCGUGUAACCUCGCUUGGCAUACAUAAAAACAGGUAAUAUACCAUAAUACCGGUAAUAAAUUAUAGGUUCGACGGUGAAGGGUGAACGGUUAAGUGAUGCGGCAGGUCGUUGGAGUGAGUUUGCAUAUGAAACAGUUUUGGCAUUUAAAAGGUGACUAGCGAAAUUACAUGAAUGCAACGAGUAAUUGAACUCUCGAGCUCUUUUGGGUAGACUUUGGUGCAAUGGAGAUAGGAAGAGUGAAUGAGAGAGAGUGAGGAUUGUGAUACCGCGAAGCAUGAUUUCCAAGCAUAUAGAAUUAUCAAUGAAUCAAGUAUGUUUCUUGUAAUUGCAGUUCAACUUUAAAGGUUACUUGGAACUGAGCUUUGUGUAUUCACGAAAGAUAUAUGUGCAAAUAUAUACAGUGGAUCAAGGUAGUUCAGUGCAUUAAAUAAUGUUGCGUAAGGUUAUCAGUUUGAUUAAUGUCACCAUAUUUUGUAAAAUAAAUAUUCAAUAUUGUAUCAAGGUAACAGUAAUUGCGCUCUUAAUUGACUCAAUGAUAUGAUUCAAAUAUUUUCGUAAAAAUAGUAUUUACAAAUAAAAAUUCCUUACAAAAUACAUGACCAUUUUUUAUAUAUUCCUCAAUUUUGAAAUUAUUUAUCUUAGGAUUGAAAAAUUCGAAGUUUUGGCAGUAUUCACAGGUCCUCUGAAAAAAUCAUAAACUUUUCCUCGAUUUUUUUACGUCCUAUAAUGACAUGCAAUAUUUUAGUUUAUUUAUUUUUUAGAUCACUUAAUUUUUCUAGAUAAUCAAUUAAAAAAUGAAGUUUUCCGACAAACUUUUAUACCCACAUUAUGUCACUAUACAAGUUACCCUGAGAAGGUAUGGAAAGCCAUUGAUUUUUAGGUCGAGAAAUUAUUUUUUACCUAACGCUAGGUGGCGCUGUAGUUAAAUUCGAAUAUUUUGAGACCACAUAAAACGUUCUUCAAUACUGUGUUAUAGAUAAUGUUACGGGGAGGAAUUGAUUUGUUAAUUAUCAGAUGAGAUCCUUUAGAUCUGUUUGUCUAUGUCGAUCAUAAAUUCGAUCAUAAAUGGUAAUAUUGUGGAAAAUAACGGUAAAUCGCUGUUUUUCUUUCGAGAAACUGAUCUUUAUAGUUACCUAAAACUUAUCAUAGAUGUCGCUGUGGUACAUUACUUCUCACUUUUUAUAAUUUUUGAGUGAAAAAAUACUGUUUUUAAUGUAGUAUAUAAUGAAUGUUGGCGACUCUCGAUAGCGAAAAGUGAUUUUCUGGUUCAAGGAAUAAAACUUUGAUGUUUGUUUGCAACUAAAACUCACACAAGAUGACGCUGUGGUACAUUUUGUGAAGUAUUAUAUUGUAAAAUUUAAUUUUCUUCCAAGAAUUUAAAUUACUACACACAUAAACUAUCUUAAACCCUUUAAGCGACUAUUAGCGCUUAUAAAACACAUUUAACAAUAUAUUAAUGCAUAUGUAAGUGCAUUAGGAUAAUUGUUGAGAACCAAUUCACCUGUCGAUUUAACCAUAUUUACAUGUUUGCAUUGUAAUUACCCAAAAAAAUAAUUAUUUGUAUAGUUAACAGGGUUAAGUGUCAAAAGGAUGGGCCAAAGACGACACCGGUCAGCUAUUGAAUAUAAAAUUAAUAUGCACGCAUCGAGUUUUUGUUGUUAUAAAUCGACUACCGACAAAUAUUGUCAAAUGUUAGCUUUCGAAAUGUAAGUCAGCCAUUUGACAAUGAUGCGAGCUGUAGAUAAUGGGCUUCAAAAUGCAAACCCCUUAUAUUAGUGGACACAACAAAACAACGUCAUAUGUAUGCAUACAGACAAAUAUAAUACACACGUGGACAUUUCGGACCCUCUUACAAGGGUAUCAUCACCGUUAUACAAACAUAGGUUUGUAUGCCUAGCUGAAAUAUGCGCGUUAAGAAAUCUGAAAGGGACGCUAACAUACAACAAACCAAAAACAAAUAGCAUACAACAACAACAAGGUAAACAAUUUAAGUAACGAUGAAAGACAUUAUUUGUUAUUACAUUAGCGACAAUUACCGAAAGUUAUUAGUACACGAAAAGAAACCCUCCAUAGAACAGUUGAGUUACAUACUCAAUGCGGAUAUCGAAGAAACUUAUCUAUGCAUAGCUACUGUAUUAAACUGUUAAAUAAAGUAGAUAAGAAGUACCUUCAUUAACCACCCUUUCUUCUAUUUGAUUAGAGCUUCAAUCAGUUUCGGAAUAAUUCACAACAAUUCGUUAGGCUCCUCGCUUUAUAAGUGUUUAUUGGAACUAUAUAAAAUGAACUCAAUAUAGCUAAAAUAUCCCCAUUUAAUUUUUUUUUUACACAGAGGAGGUCAAACAGUUUGAUUCUAUUACCACCAGCCCACAAUUUCGUGAUUUUCGAUAUCUCUCAUCUUUUACACUCAAUGAUUCGCAUAUUUCUCACAGAUUAUUUCAAUCGACUACCUCAAAUGUUCAUCAUUCCUCAAUACCUUCUUAAUCUGAUCUGAAAAAACCGAAAUUAGCUUCGCCUCCGCUCCAUAUAAUGCGGGAAUCCCCGUAAUAUAAGCGGUUUUUCACUGCUUAUUGGUUGCUAAAGAGAUCAAUAGGUCAACAUAUAUAUAAUGCAGUAUGUUGAUACUGGAGAAUUAGGUGCAGAUAUAGGUACAGAUUUUCCAGAUGGUGUUAGCUCCUUUUAACCAAUUAUUUAAAAGUAGAGUAGAGUUUUCAGUGUCUCCAAAUAUAUCCGAUCGUGCUUGGUAAGAAAGAAGAUCAUUCUACGAGUCCCCAAUCGAAGUUAAAACAAAAUAUUUUGUUGGCAAGACCAUUUUUUAAUAUAUAAUAUAUAUAUGCUGUUAUUUUUUUUGCGAAAUUUAACGCUCAAAUAGUUCUCUCUACGGCGCUCUCUCUUUUCCACACUCUCUCUCUCUCUCUAUCAAUC